GCAAGAUUAAAACUCAAAGGAAUAGACGGGGACCCGCACAAGCGGUGGAGCAUGUGGUUUAAUUCGACGAUACGCGAAGAACCUUUCCUGGCCUUGACAUAGAAAGAACUUACUAGAGAUAGUUUGGUGCUAGCUUGCUAGAACUUUCAUACAGGUGCUGCACGGCUGUCGUCAGCUCGUGUCGUGAGAUGUUGGGUUAAGUCCCGCAACGAGCGCAACCCUCGUGUUUAGUUACUAACAGUUCGGCUGAGGACUCUAGACAGACUGCCUGGGUAACCAGGAGGAAGGUGAGGACGACGUCAAGUCAUCAUGGCCCUUACGGCCAGGGCUACACACGUGCUACAAUGGGGUAUACAAAGAGCCGCAAUACCGCGAGGUGGAGCAAAUCUCAUAAAAUAUCUCCCAGUUCGGAUUGAAGUCUGCAACUCGACUUCAUGAAGUUGGAAUCGCUAGUAAUCGUGAAUCAGCAAUGUCACGGUGAAUACGUUCCCGGGUCUGUACUCCCC
RNAcentral lists this ribosomal RNA (506 nucleotides) under uncultured Campylobacterota bacterium. RNAcentral's name for it is "bacterial SSU rRNA". It matches the Rfam family "Bacterial small subunit ribosomal RNA", at positions 888 to 1391 of the family's 1533-position model. The record is from RNAcentral. Lineage: Bacteria; Pseudomonadati; Campylobacterota.